Molecule: long non-coding RNA, 680 nt
Organism: Astyanax mexicanus (Mexican tetra)
Lineage: Eukaryota; Metazoa; Chordata; Actinopteri; Characiformes; Acestrorhamphidae
Exons: 3
Source: RefSeq, a predicted model, not a curated record
AAAAAAAAGUAAAAUACGCUUAAUUUUGUUCAAUAGGUUUUGUACUGUUACUGGCCACACUCAAGUGCCAGCAUCAUGGCCAAAAAAUAUGCAGCACCAGAUAAAAACUUAUGGUCAAAGCAUGCUGUAAGGGUACUUUCAGAGACAGAUAGUUAUGCUAUGGCCAGAUACCGAGCACGAAAGGCACAGGACACAUCAAAUGUGGAAGAAUCUGAUGCUAAUGAAUCCAGAAAGAUCACUCUUCCACAUCGAUUCAGAGAUAAAGAUGACCAACCCGAUCUAAGAAAGAGAAGAGCUCCUCUAUGUAAGUGUAAAACAGUUUAUUAAGUACACCUGCCUGUUACUGACUUACUAAAUUACUUACUGGCCAUUUGUGUACCUUGUUGGAAUUUAUGUAUAUCUGCUGCUGCAUUUGCUAGCCGACACAUCAGACAUCAAACAGUAUCAGGCAUUUCUAUAAUGUCACUGUCACUGCUGUGCUUAUCAGGGUCAAUUCUAUCAGACAUUUAGAGGUGCUGAGCACACAACAAGAAGAAAAAGUAGAAAUACACGCUAACUCUUAUGUACAGGAAAUGUGUGUUACUUACAAGGGCGUAGGAGCGGGCUUGAUAUUGGGGGGGAGACACAUUUGCGAAUAUGAACCAAAGCCCACCCUAUAGUUUCCUAGAACAACAUUUUUG